RNAcentral lists this long non-coding RNA (667 nucleotides) under Vulpes vulpes (red fox). Its description in RNAcentral is "lncRNA (ENSVVUG00000005491.1)". The record is from RNAcentral. Lineage: Eukaryota; Metazoa; Chordata; Mammalia; Carnivora; Canidae.
GCCACCCCCNGAAACACACAGCGGGGGGGGGGGGAGGCUAAUUCAUCCUAGGCCCCGGCUGGGCCCCGGAGGGGAGAGAGGCCCCACAGUCACAAGGCGGUUCAUCUUGCCCAGGACAGGAGAGCGGCUGGCACCCGGGGUAGGGGCUUGAGGAAAUAUCACAAAACCCCACCGCCCAGAGGGUGGCCCAACAAAAGCCUUUUUCGAAAGGCCCCUUUGUAGCGGACCCCUUCUCGGGGUUCAGACGCCUGAAACCGGACAAAUUGAAAGCCAGAGUGGCCAUUUGGAGAAAAUGACUUCUUACUUUGGGACAGCAGAAAAUGUCUGGAAAGAAAUAUCAGACGAAGAUCUUACAAAGAAUGAAAACACUAAUUUCUCAAGAAUUCUAUUUAACUCCGAAAGUGGCUCAGGCAUGCAGGAUGAUCAAAAACAUCCCAGACUCCUCUCUUCAUAAACAAGUACGGAUGAUUCCACUGAGGCUGCAUGACGGAUGUCCUCCCCUGACCNCCCCCAGCAAGCCCCGAUGACUCGCAGUGCAGCUCAGCAAGAGAUGACAACCAGUCCUUGUUCCAGACGGUGAAGCGGAGGCGGGCAAGUCACCUGCAGUCCCAACCUUUUCACUUAUGUUGGUUUCCUACGUUGCUCUAAUAAAUCACACAAACUUCAU